CCUAUGGACGGGAAUAACCUCGGGAAACUGAGUAUAAUGCCCGAUAGAACAUUAUGCCUGGAAUGGUUUAUGUUCCAAAUGAUUUAUCGCCGCAGGAUGGGACUGCGGCCUAUCAGUUUGUUGGUGAGGUAAUGGCCCACCAAGACUAUUACAGGUACGGGCUCUGAGAGGAGUAGCCCGGAGAUGGGUACUGAGACACGGACCCAGGCCCUAUGGGGCGCAGCAGGCGAGAAAACUUUGCAAUGUGCGAAAGCACGACAAGGUUAAUCCGAGUGGUUUCUGCUAAAGGAACCUUUUGUCGGUCCUAGAAACACCGAUGAAUAAGGGGUGGGCAAGUUCUGGUGUCAGCCGCCGCGGUAAAACCAGCACCUCAAGUGGUCAGGAUGAUUAUUGGGCCUAAAGCAUCCGUAGCCGGCUCUAUAAGUUUUCGGUUAAAUCUGUAUGCUCAACGUACAGGCUGCCGGGAAUACUGUAGAGCUAGGGAGUGGGAGAGGUAGACGGUACUCGGUAGGAAGGGGUAAAAUCCUUUGAUCUAUUGAUGACCACCUGUGGCGAAGGCGGUCUACCAGAACACGUCCGACGGUGAGGGAUGAAAGCUGGGGGAGCAAACCGGAUUAGAUACCCGGGUAGUCCCAGCUGUAAACUAUGCAAACUCAGUGAUGCAUUGGCUUGUGGCCAAUGCAGUGCUGCAGGGAAGCCGUUAAGUUUGCCGCCUGGGAAGUACGUACGCAAGUAUGAAACUUAAAGGAAUUGGC
Molecule: ribosomal RNA, 755 nt
Filed under: uncultured archaeon
Lineage: Archaea
Description: bacterial SSU rRNA
Rfam family: Archaeal small subunit ribosomal RNA
Source: RNAcentral